AUGAAGGCCCUCUGGGUUGUAAACUUCUUUUAUCUGGGAAGAAACCACUCUUUUCUAAGGGUGUUGACGGUACCAGUUGAAUAAGCACCGGCUAACUCCGUGC
This 103-nucleotide ribosomal RNA is filed under the name uncultured bacterium. Its description in RNAcentral is "partial 16S ribosomal RNA". It matches the Rfam family "Bacterial small subunit ribosomal RNA", at positions 408 to 508 of the family's 1533-position model. The record is from RNAcentral.